AGGGCCCGUGCGAUGGGAAACGUGCCGUUGGCAGCCCGCCACCCCUCCAUCGUGACCUCAGUCUGCCAAACAGGGAAAUUACUCCAGGAUUUGAAUCAUCACAAGAGAUUCACCAGAGGAUUUUAUACACUUGGGCUGUGGCAGCAGACUAAUUACAUCACAGCACUAGGAUAUCACAUUGUAUUUGGUCAUCAUGACUCCUUAGUCUCCAAUCUGUGCCAGUUUUUUUGGUCUUGUCUUUCAUGGCCUUGGGGAUUUUUGAAGAAUAAUGGCCAGAGACGGGGUUUCACCGUGUUAGCUAGGAUGGUCUCGAUCUCCUGACCUCGUGAUCCACCCACCUCGGCCUCCCAAAGUGCUGGGAUUACAGAUGUGAGCCACCGCACCUGGCCUAGAGCUAGAACUUUCAACAUUUUAGGGCCUCAGCAGAAAGGAGACUGAACCAGUUCCAUGAAAACAUUCUCCUAUCUAAUAAAUCAAAAAAUCAUGACUGGCUUCCAUCAGUUCAGGAGUCUCCACACAAAUGUUUUGACAGUGGAACAAGAGACAGUCAAGGACAGUUUUAUCAGUGACAUCUACCUUCCAAUAGCAAAAACCAUCAACCGCACGAGCUGAGAUACUGGCUGGGUGGAUUUCAGCAAAUUUCCAAGGGCACAUGACAUGUGGGCACAAAAGCCGGGAUUUCACACCAGGGGAUAAAGUAUAUCAGAAAUGAAGGCUGGGGGCAGAAUAAUAGACAAUAUCUCCCCGGAUACUUUUUAUCAGCAAGACAGGAAUGUUCCCCAAAUGACACUGCUUAAGAGAACUUUGAGGAGAACUGAGGGCAAGAUACAAGCCAUGGUUCUAUACAGAUAAGUCUACGGAAGCUGCAGAAAUAACAUUCCAGAUCCCCAGGAAUCCACCCACCCACCCCUCCGACUUUGGCCGAACACCAUGGCUGGCUGCCGUGUGAAGAAUGGACUGUAGGGGGUGCCAGAGUGGCUGUGGGAAACAUCCCCUAGAAAUCUAGAAUUCAAAGCACUUACUUUGAGUGAUAUAUCCACAAGAAAGAGCCUUCUGUGCUAAAAGCAAAAAAGAAAUAAAAACAUAUCAUGUUACUUUUAA
Molecule: long non-coding RNA, 1101 nt
Filed under: Homo sapiens (human)
Lineage: Eukaryota; Metazoa; Chordata; Mammalia; Primates; Hominidae
Description: uncharacterized LOC102723324, transcript variant 11 (LOC102723324)
Source: RNAcentral